GAAUGGCUCAUUAUAUAAGUUAUCGUUUAUUUGAUAGUACCUUACUACUUGGAUAACCGUGGUAAUUCUAGAGCUAAUACAUGCUACCAAUCCCGACUCCGGAAGGGAUGUAUUUAUUAGAUUAAAAACCAAUGCCCUCUGGGCUCCUUGGUGAUUCAUGAUAACUCUUCGAAUCGCAUGGCCUUGCGCCGGCGAUGGUUCAUUCAAAUUUCUUCCCUAUCAACUUUCGAUGUUUGGGUAUUGGCCAAACAUGGUCGCAACGGGUAACGGAGGGUUAGGGCUCGACCCCGGAGAAGGAGCCUGAGAAACGGCUACUACAUCCAAGGAAGGCAGCAGGCGCGCAAAUUACCCAAUCCCGACACGGGGAGGUAGUGACAAUAAAUACUGAUACAGGGCUCUUUUGGGUCUUGUAAUUGGAAUGAGUACAAUUUAAACCCCUUAACGAGGAACAAUUGGAGGGCAAGUCUGGUGCCAGCAGCCGCGGUAAUUCCAGCUCCAAUAGCGUAUAUUAAAGUUGUUGUGGUUAAAAAGCUCGUAGUUGAACCUUGGGCCUGGCUGGCCGGUCCGCCUCACCGCGUGCACUGGUCCGGCCGGGCCUUUCCCUCUGCGGAGCCCCAUGCCCUUCGCUGGGCGUGGCGGGGAAGCAGGACUUUUACUUUGAAAAAAUUAGAGUGCUCCAGGCAGGCCUAUGCUCAAAUACAUUAGCAUGGAAUAAUAAAGUAGGACGCGCGGUUCUAUUUUGUUGGUUUCUAGGACCGCCGUAAUGAUGAAUAGGGACAGUCGGGGGCAUCAGUAUUCAAUCGUCAGAGGUGAAAUUCUUGGAUUGAUUGAAGACUAACUACUGCGAAACCAUUUGCCAAGGAUGUUUUCAUUAAUCAGGAACGAAAGUUAGGGGAUCGAAGACGAUCAGAUACCGUCGUAGUCUUAACCAUAAACUAUGCCGACUAGGGAUCGG
RNAcentral lists this ribosomal RNA (955 nucleotides) under Gibellula penicillioides. RNAcentral describes it as "SSU rRNA". It matches the Rfam family "Eukaryotic small subunit ribosomal RNA", at positions 91 to 1056 of the family's 1831-position model. Lineage: Eukaryota; Fungi; Ascomycota; Sordariomycetes; Hypocreales; Cordycipitaceae. The record is from RNAcentral.